UCUGCUGACCUCGUGAUCCGCCCGUCUCGGCCUCCCAAAGUGCUGGGAUUACAGGCUUGAGCCACCGCACCCGGCCGAGAUAUUCUUUAAUUUUUUACAUAGCAACUUUAUUUUUUUUAUUCUAUAGUAUCAGCAAAAUCAGCCAUGUUUAUACCUUGAAUAUAAACAUCAGGAAUCAUGCAAUUAUUUCUACUAUGUAUUUAGUAGUACCUUAUAUUUGUAUAACAUUACAUUUUGCAAAUUAGUAUCACAGCUGCUAAGUAGAUGUUUCUGAGUAUUAGAAAAAUCAGUGUUAUUACCUGCAGGACAUUAAAAAAUACUUGAAAAAAUAAAAAGAAAAAUCAGUGUUUAGAAAUGUUGAUAGUUAUUGAAUCUUUGUAUUGAAUUUUAAAAAUCCAUUCUAGUAAUCAGAGUAUACCUUUUUCGUAGAACAAGGUGGCAGGUGGGGAGCCCUUUACCCUUCUGGUGAAGUUAAACCAUAGAAGUUUGCAAGUUGCCUUUCACAGACAUUAGCAGGCCGGGCCUGGUGGCUGAAGCCUGUGAUCCCAGCAUGUUGAGAGGCCGAGUGGGAGGAUUGUCUGAGCGUAGGAGUUUAAGACCAGCCUGGGCACCAUGCCUUAGGAAUUUGCGAAGUUCCCAUGCCAACCAAGCCCUGAAUCUUCCACCCAUAGAAAGAAGCUUCCCUACUCACAAAAGGAAGUUCCAGAGUCCUUCCAGAUGCUUCAGGAAAGGAAGAAGGUCAGAGAGAUGGGGAAGCUGAAGAAGGUCAGAGAGAUCUGUUGGUUCUGAGGCUGAUUUCUGAGACCUUUUAAUAUUCCUUAAUUCAAAGCACUCAGCAUGCCAAAGUGCCAUGUUUUACAAUUUCGUUUUCUAAGCCCUAACUUAGGUGAAAAAAUAAUUGAAAUAAAAUAGAACAAAUCCUAUCAGUAUUGCCCUAUAUUGUUUCUUGUUUGUUUUUUGUUUUUUGAGAUGGAGUUGCCCAGGCUGGAGUGCAAUGGUGCAAUCUUGGCUCACUGCAAUCU
Rhinopithecus roxellana (golden snub-nosed monkey) is the source of this 1022-nucleotide long non-coding RNA. RefSeq lists it as uncharacterized. Lineage: Eukaryota; Metazoa; Chordata; Mammalia; Primates; Cercopithecidae. The transcript is spliced from 3 exons. The record is from RefSeq and is a predicted model, not a curated record.